UGGAUUUCUGAUUAUCCUAUAUGCAUGCAAGUGAUUUUAUUGUGAUUUGUGCAUACAUCCUUGAAGAUACAUAGGUGCAAUGGAGUUUAGUUAUAUCAUGUUGUUCUUAGAUGAUAUCAUUGAAGUGGUGUGACACUAAUUCUUGGAUGAUACUGAUUAAAGUGGUGUCGCAGUGGCGAUAGGAAUAAAAUUCAAAUUUGUAAUUUCUGACACUCACCUUAUUUUAAGCUUUCAUCUUCUAACGCGUGAACUAUAACAAUAGACACGUGUAGUGCCU
This 277-nucleotide long non-coding RNA is filed under the name Solanum tuberosum (potato). Its description in RNAcentral is "long non-coding RNA (STUB_LNC001627)". Lineage: Eukaryota; Viridiplantae; Streptophyta; Magnoliopsida; Solanales; Solanaceae. The record is from RNAcentral.